CGUGUAGGCGGCUGAGCAAGUCAGAUGUGAAAUCCCUGGGCUUAACCCAGGAAGUGCAUUUGAAACUGCUUAGCUUGAGUAAGGAAGAGGGAAGUGGAAUUCCUGGUGUAGAGGUGAAAUUCGUAGAUAUCAGGAGGAACACCGGUGGCGAAGGCGACUUCCUGGUCCUAUACUGACGCUGAGACGCGAGAGCGUGGGGGAGCAAACAG
RNAcentral lists this ribosomal RNA (209 nucleotides) under uncultured Syntrophus sp. RNAcentral's name for it is "partial 16S ribosomal RNA". It matches the Rfam family "Bacterial small subunit ribosomal RNA", at positions 568 to 775 of the family's 1533-position model. The record is from RNAcentral. Lineage: Bacteria; Pseudomonadati; Thermodesulfobacteriota; Syntrophia; Syntrophales; Syntrophaceae.